GGCAGCAGUGGGGAAUCUUCCGCAAUGGGCGAAAGCCUGACGGAGCAACGCCGCGUGAACGAUGAAGCUCUUAGGAUCGUAAAGUUCUGUUGUUGGGGACGAAGGGUAAGAA
RNAcentral lists this ribosomal RNA (112 nucleotides) under uncultured bacterium. Its description in RNAcentral is "partial 16S ribosomal RNA". It matches the Rfam family "Bacterial small subunit ribosomal RNA", at positions 347 to 458 of the family's 1533-position model. The record is from RNAcentral.